Long non-coding RNA from Acanthopagrus latus (yellowfin seabream), 807 nucleotides. RefSeq lists it as uncharacterized. The record is from RefSeq and is a predicted model, not a curated record. The transcript is spliced from 2 exons. NCBI's taxonomy places the organism in Eukaryota, Metazoa, Chordata, Actinopteri, Spariformes, Sparidae.
UUAUUGAAGGUCUAGUCCACUCUGCCUCAAUGUCCACUCACAAUAAUAUCAUAUAUGGCGCUGAAGGUAUUUUCCUUGGGUUUUUUAAAGCUGAAGGGGUUGUCAGUCAUCCUCUUGUAUGAUAUUUUAUUCCAACCAUGGGUGGCGGUGGCUUUUCUUCUCCUUUAAAUAUCCACUGUAGAUGAUGUAAGGAGUUUCUCAAUGUCCAUUUUACCUCUUAACAACCGAGCGCACCAGCAAUUUUAGGCUAGCAAAGCUUUUUUUUAUCAGGAAAGUGUCGAAAAUGAAAGAACAGGUGUACGUCUCGGCAACAAUUCGGCAGAAUAAAGGAACAAAAACACAACAUAAAUUGUUCCAGGAGAUGGCAGGGAAGUCUAAUUAACUGUUAUUAACUUGUCAAUCAAAGAUGGCGCGCGUUUCCUUCUUCCUCACUGGGCCGCGGUGCUCCGUGCUGCCCCCGCUGACCGGAAGCACGAUAGUCCGUGGUCCACUCUCCAUCUGUCCGAUCAGGUGCUGUCGGAAAAGCCGUGAACUUCCCUCUGAAUUCUGAAAAACAACUUGGAAAGUCGGACAUUUUUCGGUUCACGAGUUGCCGAGACGACGUCCUGUGACGCUGACAAAAAUGGCGGACGAAAGUAAACACUGGGCUGAUGCGUGUUUGUUGCGACAUGAACGCACGGAGGUCGGACUAACGGCUCGCUGCCUCGUAAGGCGAAACAUCCGAGGAGCCCGUGAAUGCAGCAUAUGAAGCAGGAGCUGACCCGCUUGGGACAAAAUACUAAUAAACAAAGAUGAAGCCUAUAAUAA